ACUGCUCAGUAACACGUGGCUAAUCUGCCCUUUGGGACCGGAACACCCCCGGGAAACUGGGGCUAAUUCUCGAUAGGUGAAGAACUCUGGAAUGAGUCUUUGCCGAAAAGUUGUCAGGGUUAUGCUCUCUGAUAACGCCCAAGGAUGAGGCCGCGACCGAUCAGGUUGUUGGUGAGGUAAUGGCUCACCAAGCCUUUUACCGGUGCGGGCCGUGAGAGCGGGAGCCCGGAGAUGGGCACUGAGACAAGGGCCCAGGCCCUACGGGGCGCAGCAGUCGCGAAAACUUUGCAAUACACGAAAGUGUGACAGGGCUAUCCCGAGUGCCAUCCGCUGAGGAAGGCUUUUACCCAGUCUAGAACGCUGGGGGAAUAAGGAGAGGGCAAGUCUGGUGUCAGCCGCCGCGGUAAUACCAGCUCUCCGAGUGGUGUGGAUGUUUAUUGGGCCUAAAGCAUCCGUAGCUGGCUAAGUUAGUCCCUUGUUAAAUCCACCGAAUUAAUCGUUGGAUUGCGGGGGAUACUGCUUGGCUAGGGGACGAGAGAGGCAGACGGUAUUUCCGGGGUAGGGGUGAAAUCCUAUAAUCCCGGGAAGACCACCAGUGGCGAAGGCUGUCUGCUAGAACGCGCCCGACGGUGAGGGAUGAAAGCUGGGGGAGCGAACCGGAUUAGAUACCCGGGUAGUCCCAGCUGUAAACGAUGCAGGCUAGGUGUUUGGACGGCCACGUGCCGUUCUAGUGCCGCAGGGAAGCUGUUAAGCCUGCCGCCUGGAGAGUACGAUCGCAAGAUUGAAACUUAAAGGAAUUGGCGGGGGAGCA
Molecule: ribosomal RNA, 811 nt
Filed under: uncultured archaeon
Lineage: Archaea
Description: bacterial SSU rRNA
Rfam family: Archaeal small subunit ribosomal RNA
Source: RNAcentral